RNAcentral lists this transfer RNA (72 nucleotides) under Isoetes wormaldii. RNAcentral's name for it is "tRNA-Val". It matches the Rfam family "tRNA". Rfam says of the family: Transfer RNA (tRNA) molecules are approximately 80 nucleotides in length. Their secondary structure includes four short double-helical elements and three loops (D, anti-codon, and T loops). The record is from RNAcentral. Lineage: Eukaryota; Viridiplantae; Streptophyta; Lycopodiopsida; Isoetales; Isoetaceae.
AGGGCUAUAGCUCAGCGGUAGAGCGCCUCGUUUACACCGAGAAUGUNUACGGUUNGAAUCCGUAUAGCCCUA